This is a non-coding RNA of Misgurnus anguillicaudatus (oriental weatherfish), 1004 nucleotides long. Lineage: Eukaryota; Metazoa; Chordata; Actinopteri; Cypriniformes; Cobitidae. The record is from RefSeq and is a predicted model, not a curated record.
ACUAAUUUACAAACUUUCCCGCCAGCACUGUGGAACAGCCCACAAUAGCAGGGACCAAACAAUCUUCAUUCAGAGGAUCUUUACAAAGCACAUGGCAUUACCUUAACCCCCAGGGGUCCAAAAACGCGGGGACGCGUUUUGACGUGUUUUCUCCUUAUCAUAGCAGAAUCAACUUAAAAUACUCCAUCAUUAAUAAUCAAACACUUACGUGUUUGACAUCAUUUGAAACUCUGAAGGGUCCUCUUAAAUUAGUGUACAUUCACAAUAACAACAGAUCUUUGUGUUUUUGUCAAAUAAAGAAAAUAAACAGGGUGCUCAUUCAGACAUUUCUGUCUCCGCCAGCUGUCUCUCAAAUCACGUUACAAAAAUUAGUUGAAACUCCGCGAAUACUCGUCACACAAACAUAAUACACAUAUCCAAAGAAAGCCUGAAAUGUCUACUUUUAAACAAGCUAAUUAUUAUCAAAAACAAAUAUUUCCUGUUUAUAUAAUCUGCACUGAAGUAAAGAGAGUACCGUUUUUCCUGGCUGAGCUCAUUAUCUAUAAUGCGGUCACGCCCACACGCUGUUGACAUGGUAAUGAAGAGACGAGCUGUUCAAACCAGCAAAGCGUAAUGUUUGAUAAGAUUUAAAGACUUUAGCGCAUGUUUGGAUUAUAAACUUUAUACACACACGUGAGGAAUAUCUUCAUUUAUGUCUGGACAUUGAGGAAGAGAAGCGUUUAUCUUUAACGUUACCUAAGAAGAAGAACAAUGGAAGGCGCAAUGGAGGCGGAUAUAUUCCUGAAGAAACUGUCUGCAUCCCUCUCAUCAGUAAACUAUGAAGUGGAAAAACAUAUUCACACUCUUUGGACAUAAAGUUGUAUGGUAACAUGAGCCACAUGAAGUUUACAGCUCUGUUGUUUAUCAGUUUCUUAUACAAGUUAAGUUUUUGAAUAGGGUCCUACUGACCUUCAUUUCUAUUUUGAUUAUAUUGUUAACUUCUUAAUAAACCUCAAACAAACAUG